Long non-coding RNA from Dryobates pubescens (Downy woodpecker), 540 nucleotides. RefSeq lists it as uncharacterized. The transcript has 3 exons. The record is from RefSeq and is a predicted model, not a curated record. NCBI's taxonomy places the organism in Eukaryota, Metazoa, Chordata, Aves, Piciformes, Picidae.
CCCACAGCCCGCCCAAGGCGGGAUCGGUCGCGGAAGAGGUCGGCGGCCGUCGGUGCCGCCUUUUGAGAUGAUACCGCUGCUUACGGGUGCUGUGCCCUCUCGGAACAGACAGCCGGUGCUCCUCGGGGCGGCAGUCCUCUUACCUCAGUGAGACUUUGUGGCACAACCCUAUAGCAUACCUGUGAUCGCAGCGCACCAUUGAGGAACUCAUUAGCCAUCUGAUCAUCCUGUACAAGGCACACUGGUCUUCAUUGAAAUUUGUGAGGCAAGAUCCUUUGACUACUGUGCAAUCCACCCAUGCAGAAGAUGUCCAAAGCAUAAGGCUUUUGAGAACACAUCCCUGUAAUGGGUUGUUUGAUUUAUAGUUACAUAGUCCUGAUGAGCAUCCAGUUUUAUGCCUGGCCUCCUGUCCUCUUAAGAGGUGUAGCUAUUACAGUGCUUGAACACUAAAUGUUCCAGUGAAAAAAAACUUCUGUUAUGGAUUAAUCAUUGUAAAGUCAAGCACCAGAACACUAGGAAAUGCAUAGAGAAUCAUUUGUA